AAUACGGAGGGUGCAAGCGUUACUCGGAAUCACUGGGCGUAAAGGGCGCGUAGGCGGAUUAUCAAGUCUCUUGUGAAAUCUAAUGGCUUAACCAUUAAACUGCUUGGGAAACUGAUAGUCUAGAGUGAGGGAGAGGCAGAUGGAAUUGGUGGUGUAGGGGUAAAAUCCGUAGAUAUCACCAAGAAUACCCAUUGCGAAGGCGAUCUGCUGGAACUCAACUGACGCUAAGGCGCGAAAGCGUGGGGAGCAAACAGGAUUAGAUACCCUGGUAGUCCACGCCCUAAACGAUGUACACUAGUUGUUGGGGUGCUAGUCAUCUCAGUAAUGCAGCUAACGCAUUAAGUGUACCGCCUGGGGAGUACGGUCGCAAGAUUAAAACUCAAAGGAAUAGACGGGGACCCGCACAAGCGGUGGAGCAUGUGGUUUAAUUCGAGGAUACGCGAAGAACCUUACCUGGGCUUGAUAUCCUAAGAACCUUAUAGAGAUAUGAGGGUGCUAGCUUGCUAGAACUUAGAGACAGGUGCUGCACGGCUGUCGUCAGCUCGUGUCGUGAGAUGUUGGGUUAAGUCCCGCAACGAGCGCAACCCACGUAUUUAGUUGCUAACGGUUCGGCCGAGCACUCUAAAUAGACUGCCUUCGUAAGGAGGAGGAAGGUGUGGACGACGUCAAGUCAUCAUGGCCCUUAUGCCCAGGGCGACACACGUGCUACAAUGGCAUAUACAAUGAGACGCAAUACCGCGAGGUGGAGCAAAUCUAUAAAAUAUGUCCCAGUUCGGAUUGUUCUCUGCAACUCGAGAGCAUGAAGCCGGAAUCGCUAGUAAUCGUAG
This 827-nucleotide ribosomal RNA is filed under the name uncultured Campylobacter sp. RNAcentral's name for it is "bacterial SSU rRNA". It matches the Rfam family "Bacterial small subunit ribosomal RNA", at positions 522 to 1347 of the family's 1533-position model. The record is from RNAcentral. Lineage: Bacteria; Pseudomonadati; Campylobacterota; Epsilonproteobacteria; Campylobacterales; Campylobacteraceae.